Molecule: ribosomal RNA, 404 nt
Filed under: uncultured bacterium
Lineage: Bacteria
Also listed under: 3 other names
Description: bacterial SSU rRNA
Rfam family: Bacterial small subunit ribosomal RNA
Source: RNAcentral
UAGGGAAUAUUGGUAAUGGGCGAAAGCCUGAACCAGCAACGCCGCGUGUGCGAAGAAGGCCUUCGGGUUGUAAAGCACUUUUUAAGGGGAUGAGGAAGGACAGUACCCUUAGAAUAAGCCUCGGCUAACUACGUGCCAGCAGCCGCGGUAACACGUAGGAGGCAAGCGUUAUUCGGAUUUACUGGGCGUAAAGCGCGUGCAGGCGGUUUGGUAAGUUGGAUGUGAAAGCUCCCGGCCUAACUGGGAGAGGUCGUUCAAUACUACCAGACUAGAGGAUGGGAGAGGGAGGUGGAAUUCCGGGUGUAGUGGUGAAAUGCGUAGAUAUCCGGAGGAACACCAGUGGCGAAAGCGGCCUCCUGGCCCAUUUCUGACGCUCAGACGCGAAAGCUAGGGUAGCAAACGGG